This 804-nucleotide ribosomal RNA is filed under the name uncultured bacterium. Its description in RNAcentral is "bacterial SSU rRNA". It matches the Rfam family "Bacterial small subunit ribosomal RNA", at positions 12 to 806 of the family's 1533-position model. The record is from RNAcentral.
UUUGAUCCUGGCUUCAGGGAUGAACGCUAGCUACGGGGUUUAACACAUGCAGGUCGGACGGAUUCUGGAUUCGUCUGGGAAUUAGUGGCAACGGGGUGAGUAACACGUAUCCAACCACCCUGCGACUCGGGGAUAGCCUCUUGAAAGGGAGAUUAAUAUCCGAUGUACUGUUUUUGGUGCAUGCCAUUUUCAGUAAAGUUUUUUUACGGUCGCUGACGGGGAUGCGUUCCAUUAGAUAGUCGGUGUGAUAACGGCUCACCGAGUCUAUGAUGGAUAGGGGUUCUGAGAGGAAGGUCCCCCACAUUGGAACUGCGACACGGUCCAAACUCCUACGGGAGGCAGCAGUGAGGAAUAUUCCACAAUGGACGAAAGUCUGAUGGAGCGACGCCGCGUGGAUGAUGAAGGCCGAAAGGUUGUAAAAUCCUUUUACACUGGAGGAAUAAGCAGAGUAGGGAAUGACUCUGUGAUGACUGUACAGUUUGAAUAAGCAACGGCUAAUUACGUGCCAGCAGCCGCGGUAACACGUAAGUUGCGAGCGUUGUUCGGAAUUAUUGGGCGUAAAGGGCAUGUAGGCGGAUUUGCAAGCUUGAUGUGAAAUCCCGCAGCUUAACUGCGGAACUGCAUUGGGAACUGCAAGACUAGAGUUACUGAGGGGAAACUAGAAUUCCAAGUGUAGGGGUGAAAUCUGUAGAUAUUUGGAAGAAUACCAAUGGCGAAGGCAAGUUUCUGGCAGAUAACUGACGCUGAGGUGCGAAGGUGCGGGGAGCAAACAGGAUUAGAUACCCCGGUAGUCCACACAGUAAA